RNAcentral lists this ribosomal RNA (594 nucleotides) under uncultured Lachnospiraceae bacterium. RNAcentral describes it as "bacterial SSU rRNA". It matches the Rfam family "Bacterial small subunit ribosomal RNA", at positions 106 to 718 of the family's 1533-position model. The record is from RNAcentral. Lineage: Bacteria; Bacillati; Bacillota; Clostridia; Lachnospirales; Lachnospiraceae.
GUGAGUAACGCGUGGGUAACCUGCCUCAUACAGGGGGAUAACGGUUAGAAAUGACUGCUAAUACCGCAUAAGCGCACAGUACCGCAUGGUACGGUGUGAAAAACUCCGGUGGUAUGAGAUGGACCCGCGUCUGAUUAGCUAGUUGGUGGGGUAACGGCCCACCAAGGCGACGAUCAGUAGCCGACCUGAGAGGGUGACCGGCCACAUUGGGACUGAGACACGGCCCAGACUCCUACGGGAGGCAGCAGUGGGGGAUAUUGCACAAUGGAGGAAACUCUGAUGCAGCGACGCCGCGUGAGUGAAGAAGUAUUUCGGUAUGUAAAGCUCUAUCAGCGGGGAAGAAAAUGACGGUACCUGACUAAGAAGCCCCGGCUAACUACGUGCCAGCAGCCGCGGACAUACGUAGGGGGCAAGCGUUAUCCGGAUUUACUGGGUGUAAAGGGAGCGUAGACGGCGACGCAAGUCUGAAGUGAAAUACCCGGGCUCAACCUGGGAACUGCUUUGGAAACUGUGUUGCUAGAGUGCUGGAGAGGUAAGCGGAAUUCCUAGUGUAGCGGUGAAAUGCGUAGAUAUUAGGAAGAACACCAGUGGCGA